UCAGUUCGAAGUGGUCACAAAAAAUUAUAGAGUUUCGCUUUAAAAGUAACAUUCCAAAUAGACCUAUCUACAAACAUUUCUACAAAGCUUUGUUGGACACUGCAGUUCCCCCAAAAGUGAAUAUUAUAAACUGCAGAUUUUUUAACAACAAUAUUCCUAGCUAUCAUAAUUUGCAGAUUAAAAGGCUCAGGAACAUAACUAUUUUCCCGAGAUGCAAGGUCGGUGUUGAAACAAACGAGCAUAUUAUCCGUGACUGUCUCAGGAGUAUUUGGGAUGUUUUGGGGUUGAAUAGACCUGCGAGGAGAGACAAUGAAGACUUUAAAUCUUCGUUUAUGAGUUGGUUCGAAAUCAUGAACAGUUCGAAUGUCAGCUACCACAUUAUAAUCUGGGCUGUUUGGUUUCCCAGAAACAAAUUGGUUCAUGACAAAGUUGCUCAAAAUACUACCGAGGUCGUCACAUGGAUUAGGUCUUUUCAAGAGGAAUUUAAAAUUCAUAACACUGUUGGAGCUAGGAAUGACGACCAGUAACUGACUGUUUGGAAACCCCCAGAGAGGUCGUGGGUUUGUGUUAACUUCGACGCGUCUUACGAUUCUGCAACCAAACACUUGGUUUCAGGUAUAGUUGUGAGAAAGGAAGAUGGGAUUGUAGUAAAGGCUGGAGUGAUAACAAAUUCGAACAUUACUGACCCGUUUCUUGUAGAGGCCAUUCCAUGCAAGGAGGCGAUGGCUCUUGCCGUCUCGUUGAGAGUUCAUAGCCUCGAGGUUGAAGGAGACCUAAAAUCCGUCAUCAAAAGAAUGAAAGCCACAACAGACGAUAGGUCAGUCCUUAGACCAAUUAUUGUUGAGGGGAAACAAAUAGAAAAAUCGUUUGAUAAUUGUAAAUUUAAGUUUAUUCCAAUAAAAGGAUAUAAACUUGCCCACCAAAUUUUUUCCCAGAAACACUACUUGGUGGGAUGAUUUACCUUUUCGAUUGAAGAAGUUUGCUAAUGAGGAUCGACAGAGAUCCAAUCCGCCAUUGGGUUGACGCCUGGAAUCGUUAAUUAAGGCUUCCCUUGCAAAAUUGGUUUUUAACAGAGGGUGGGAGGCGACAUUUUGUUACGUGCUGGUAGCUUUUCGGAAAGUGAAGUGUUGAGGACUGUUUUUUUCAUUUUAUCUGUUCACUUUAUUGUUCUUUUAUUACUCAUUUUUUUAAUAAUAUAUGAGCUACAACUAGUUUCUAUUAAAAAAGAAGAAGAAAAAAACACUUGCUAUAAUUUUAUAUCAUCCUAG
Molecule: long non-coding RNA, 1268 nt
Filed under: Gossypium barbadense (sea-island cotton)
Lineage: Eukaryota; Viridiplantae; Streptophyta; Magnoliopsida; Malvales; Malvaceae
Description: long non-coding RNA (GBAR_LNC005029)
Source: RNAcentral